AAAUGCGAUAAGUAGUGUGAAUUGCAGAAUUCAGUGAAUCAUCGAAUCUUUGAACGCACAUUGCGCCCCUUGGUAUUCCAUGGGGCAUGCCUGUUCGAGCGUCAUUUGUACCCUCAAGCUCUGCUUGGUGUUGGGUGUUUGUCCCGUCUCCGCGCGUGGACUCGCCCCAAAGUGAUUGGCAGCCGGCGUACUGGUCCCGGAGCGCAGCACAUGUCGCGCAAACGAGUGCCUUGGUACGGCGGCGUCCAUAAGCCCCUCUCUCACGCUCUUGACCUCGAAUCAGGUAGGAAUACCCGCUGAACUUAAGC
This 308-nucleotide unclassified non-coding RNA is filed under the name plant metagenome. RNAcentral's name for it is "partial contains 5.8S ribosomal RNA, internal transcribed spacer 2, and large subunit ribosomal RNA". The stretch from base 1 to 104 matches the Rfam family "5.8S ribosomal RNA", at positions 51 to 154 of the family's 154-position model. The record is from RNAcentral.